CUACACUGCAAAAACGAUGGUGGGUUAUACCCACCAUAUCUGUGGAAGGUACCCACUUUUUGGUUUUCCACCAAUGUGGGUGAAACCCCCUGGUGUUAUAUUCCCCCCUUUGGUGGAAAAUACCCACCAUCAAUGUGUAAUAAUUACACUCAUAAUAAUAAUGUAAUAAUUAAUCUAGUAAUGCCACGCCCACUGCGCAUGCGCAGUUCAGUUCCAAAUUAAUCCAGCUGCAAAUGGCUUCCUUCUCUUUUGUCCUCCAUUACUGCCAGUCUAUUUUUUGGCCGUUUAGCUCUUAGUUUUGCCUCUGUAUUCUUUGAAAUCCCCAGAAAAUUAUCUCAUUUUCGAAGGCCGCUUCCAUGUCAGCAGCUAUUUCUGUGACUCUUCCUUCAGGCUGUCCCCUUAGGCUAUGAUUUGUGUCUAGACUGAUUGAACUACCAAUAGCUGUGUUCAAAAUGGAUCGCGUCCAU
Long non-coding RNA from Amphimedon queenslandica, 467 nucleotides. RefSeq lists it as uncharacterized. The transcript is spliced from 3 exons. Lineage: Eukaryota; Metazoa; Porifera; Demospongiae; Haplosclerida; Niphatidae. The record is from RefSeq and is a predicted model, not a curated record.